This 497-nucleotide ribosomal RNA is filed under the name uncultured bacterium. RNAcentral describes it as "partial 16S ribosomal RNA". It matches the Rfam family "Bacterial small subunit ribosomal RNA", at positions 28 to 507 of the family's 1533-position model. The record is from RNAcentral.
GACGAACGCUGGCGGCGUGCCUAAUACAUGCAAGUUGAGCGCUGAAGGUUGGUACUUGUACCAACUGGAUGAGCAGCGAACGGGUGAGUAACGCGUGGGGAAUCUGCCUUUGAGCGGGGGACAACAUUUGGAAACGAAUGCUAAUACCGCAUAAAAACUUUAAACACAAGUUUGAAGUUUGAAAGAUGCAAUUGCAUCACUCAAAGAUGAUCCCGCGUUGUAUUAGCUAGGUGGUGAGGUAAAGGCUCACCAAGGCGAUGAUACAUAGCCGAACUGAGAGGGUGAUCGGCCACAUUGGGACGGAGACACGGCCCAAACGCCCACGGGAGGCAGCAGUAGGGAAUCUUCGGCAAUGGACGAAAGUCUGACCGAGCAACGCCGCGUGAGUGAAGAAGGUUUUCGGAUCGUAAAACUCGGUUGGUAGAGAAGAACGUUGGUGAGAGUGGAAAGCUCAUCAAGUGACGGUAACUACCCAGAAAGGGACGGCUAACUACGUG